Long non-coding RNA from Musca vetustissima, 245 nucleotides. RefSeq lists it as uncharacterized. Lineage: Eukaryota; Metazoa; Arthropoda; Insecta; Diptera; Muscidae. The transcript has 2 exons. The record is from RefSeq and is a predicted model, not a curated record.
UUUAUUUUGAUGCCACGGUCGAUUAAUACGAGCGGAUAGCGACCAUCGACUGUUAUGGCGGCCCACACCAUCACCAUGGCUGGCGCUUGAGUUCUGGCGGCCAACCGAAGGUGUAAAUUUUCAUUGACCUCUUUGGCAAGUAAACACGAUCAUUUUGUUUGUUUAGGAACUGCUGGAUAACGAAUGUUUUCUCAUCGGAGAAAACCAAAUUCGGAAGUUCACCACUUUCGGCCAAGCGAAGCAAA